GACGAACGCUGGCGGCGUGCUUAACACAUGCAAGUCGAACGAAGAGCGAUGGAAGCUUGCUUCUAUCAAUCUUAGUGGCGAACGGGUGAGUAACGCGUAAUCAACCUGCCCUUCAGGGGGGGACAACAGUUGGAAACGACUGCUAAUACCGCAUACGAUCUAAUCUCGGCAUCGAGGAUAGAUGAAAGGUGGCCUCUACAUGUAAGCUAUCACUGAAGGAGGGGAUUGCGUCUGAUUAGCUAGUUGGAGGGGUAACGGCCCACCAAGGCGAUGAUCAGUAGCCGGUCUGAGAGGAUGAACGGCCACAUUGGGACUGAGACACGGCCCAGACUCCUACGGGAGGCAGCAGUGAGGAAUCUUCCGCAAUGGACGAAAGUCUGACGGAGCAACGCCGCGUGAGUGAUGACGGCCUUCGGGUUGUAAAGCUCUGUUAAUCGGGACGAAAGGCCUUCUUGCGAAUAGUGAGAAGGAUUGACGGUACCGGAAUAGAAAGCCACGGCUAACUACGUG
Molecule: ribosomal RNA, 510 nt
Filed under: uncultured bacterium
Lineage: Bacteria
Description: partial 16S ribosomal RNA
Rfam family: Bacterial small subunit ribosomal RNA
Source: RNAcentral